RNAcentral lists this ribosomal RNA (497 nucleotides) under uncultured bacterium. RNAcentral's name for it is "partial 16S ribosomal RNA". It matches the Rfam family "Bacterial small subunit ribosomal RNA", at positions 28 to 507 of the family's 1533-position model. The record is from RNAcentral.
GAUGAACGCUGGCGGCGUGCCUAAUACAUGCAAGUCGAGCGAACGGACGAGAAGCUUGCUUCUCUGAUGUUAGCGGCGGACGGGUGAGUAACACGUGGAUAACCUACCUAUAAGACUGGGAUAACUUCGGGAAACCGGAGCUACUACCGGAUAAUAUUUUGAACCGCAUGGUUCAAAAGUGAAAGACGGUCUUGCUGUCACUUAUAGAUGGAUCAGCGCUGCAUUAGCUAGUUGGUAAGGUAACGGCUUACCAAGGCAACGAUGCAUAGCCGACCUGAGAGGGUGAUCGGCCACACUGGAACUGAGACACGGUCCAGACUCCUACGGGAGGCAGCAGUAGGGAAUCUUCCGCAAUGGGCGAAAGCCUGACGGAGCAACGCCGCGUGAGUGAUGAAGGUCUUCGGAUCGUAAAACUCUGUUAUUAGGGAAGAACAUAUGUGUAAGUAACUGUGCACAUCUUGACGGUACCUAAUCAGAAAGCCACGGCUAACUACGUG